AUGAAAAUCUUAUUUCCAUAAUCUCUCACUAGUUAGGUGUUUUAGGGAGAGAAAGAGGAAGCUUUAUUAAUAGCUUGAGAGCUUUUGGAAAGAAGUUCAAAGUUACAAAGCUAUCAAGGUGCUAAUGAAGCCCCAUCAACCCAAUUGGAUCAUUUGGGGGAUUAAGAGUCGGCUAAAGGCUCAACGAAUACCGAUUAAGAGACAGUCGGUAACUAGGACGAGGUGUCCUCGUGGACUUGUAUCCAUCUUUUGGUAGGUGUCUCGGCAUUCAGUAACUGUACAUUCGCUCGAGUCUCUCUGCUGGACAUCGAGUCUCCUUUUGUUGUGUAUA
This is a non-coding RNA of Theobroma cacao (cacao), 331 nucleotides long. NCBI's taxonomy places the organism in Eukaryota, Viridiplantae, Streptophyta, Magnoliopsida, Malvales, Malvaceae. The record is from RefSeq and is a predicted model, not a curated record.